Molecule: ribosomal RNA, 600 nt
Filed under: archaeon 'A363-UMH 31% pond'
Lineage: Archaea
Description: bacterial SSU rRNA
Rfam family: Archaeal small subunit ribosomal RNA
Source: RNAcentral
ACUCGUGGCGACUGGCUCAGUAACACGUGGUCCAAACUACCCUUCGGACCACAAUACCCUCGGGAAACUGAGGCUAAUAGUGUACACCACAGUCCACCUGGAAUGAGGACUGUGCCAAACGCUCCGGCGCCGAAGGAUGUGGCUGCGGCCGAUUAGGUAGACGGUGGGGUAACGGCCCACCGUGCCAAUAAUCGGUACGGGUCAUGAGAGUGAGAACCCGGAGACGGAAUCUGAGACAAGAUUCCGGGCCCUACGGGGCGCAGCAGGCGCGAAACCUUUACACUGCACGACAGUGCGAUAAGGGAAUCCCAAGUGCACAGGCAUAGAGCCUGUGCUUUUGUACACCCUAGGGCGGUGUACGAAUAAGGGCUGGGCAAGACCGGUGCCAGCCGCCGCGGUAAUACCGGCAGCCCAAGUGAUGGCCGAUCUUAUUGGGCCUAAAGCGUCCGUAGCUGGCCGCACAAGUCCAUCGGGAAAUCCACCUGCCCAACAUGUGGACUCCCGGUUGGAAACUGUGUGGCUUGGGACCGGAAGGCUCUACGGGUAACGUCCGGGGUAAGGAGUGAAAUCCCCGUAAAUCCCUGGACGGACCGCCCGAUG